This 350-nucleotide ribosomal RNA is filed under the name uncultured bacterium. Its description in RNAcentral is "bacterial SSU rRNA". It matches the Rfam family "Bacterial small subunit ribosomal RNA", at positions 32 to 361 of the family's 1533-position model. The record is from RNAcentral.
AAUCAACGCUGGCGGCGUGCCUCAGACAUGCAAGUCGAACGCGAAAUUUCCCUUCGGGGAGAAAGUAGAGUGGCGCACGGGUGAGUAACACGUAGGUAAUUUGCCUUUGGGUGGGGAAUAACAGUCGGAAACGGCUGCUAAUACCGCAUAAUGCAGCGGCUCGACAUCGAGACAGUUGUUAAAGCGGGGGAUCGCAAGACCUCGCGCCUGAAGAGAAGCCUGCGGCAGAUUAGCUAGUUGGUAGGGUAAUGGCCUACCAAGGCAACGAUCUGUAACCGGCCUGAGAGGGCGGUCGGUCACACUGACACUGACAUACGGGUCAGACUCCUACGGGAGGCAGCAGUCGGGAA